AUCUCGAUUUCAAGCUCGCCGACGAUCCUAACCUCUCUCUGCAGCGGUACGGCCAGUACUUAUACGAUGGACUCGCCCUCUUCGCCCCUUCAAUCGCUCGGUUUGGAGGGACGAUGGAUCAGGCGGAGGUUCUCGAUUUCGUGGAUGCGGGUCGGGAUCUGAUCCUGGCGGCGGAUCCGUCAGCGUCGGAGUUGGUUAAGGGGAUCGUGGCCGAGUGCGGGGCUGAUUUUGAUGAGGAUUCACUGGGUGGAGACCGCCAAAGAGCAGGCUAGCUCCCUAAGCAAUAUAAAGCACAAUCUUGUAGGCUUGAAUGUAGGUAAUGUCCUACCCUGACUAACUUUCAUUUAUGUCAUCUUCUUGUUGAUAGUUUGCAUGCAAUAGAAGAGAACUCUUGAAUUUUGAUUCUGCAGGAGAAGAGUUUCAGAUAAGAAACUGGUUGGGCAUUUAUUGUAGCUGAUCAAGGAGGAAGAAACAUGAUGCUUCAACAACUUGAAGGAGUAAAUGCAAUUGGAUUCUAUAAAUUAUGCAAAGUUCAUCAAGUUAUGUAAACAAUUGUAUUCUUUAUAAUCUAUGUAAUAAAUUUAUGUAUAUUUCUAGUAUUUUGGUGAAUGUAUUAUUUGAAUAUAAUUAUAUUUGAUAUUGAAAUAUAAUUAGAUCA
Molecule: long non-coding RNA, 658 nt
Organism: Asparagus officinalis (garden asparagus)
Lineage: Eukaryota; Viridiplantae; Streptophyta; Magnoliopsida; Asparagales; Asparagaceae
Exons: 4
Source: RefSeq, a predicted model, not a curated record